CGGCAAAGGAGUACCUGGGUGAGAAGCUCCCAGGCCCAUCUGAUGGCCUCCUCCUUGAAAUAGUCCCCGAAAGACCAGUUCCCAAGCAUCUCGAAGAAGGUAUGGUGGUAGGUGUCAUUCCCCACGUCGUCGAGGUCGUUGUGCUUCCCGCCGGCGCGGAUGCACUUUUGGGUGUUACAGGCACGGUGCAGGCGGCCGAGCGGCGAGUCCGGCGCCGCUGUGCCGAGGAAGACCGGCUUGAACUGGUUCAUUCCAGCGUUGGCGAACAGCAGCGUGGGGUCGUCGACGGGGACCACGGGACUCGACGGCCACCUCGUAUGUGCCUUGGACUCGAAGAAGGUUAAGAACUCCUGGCGGAUCCGCCGGGACGGCCACGCCGGCGACGGAUCCAUCUGAGGCGGGGCGGCGGCUGGGGAAGAUGAGAACGAUGACGAGAAGG
Molecule: long non-coding RNA, 439 nt
Filed under: Zea mays
Lineage: Eukaryota; Viridiplantae; Streptophyta; Magnoliopsida; Poales; Poaceae
Description: long non-coding RNA (ZMAY_LNC000269)
Source: RNAcentral